GACGGCACGCGCGCCUUCGGGCGUUCGUCUUUCCGUAGCCCUUACAACAUCAGCCGGGUUCCGGCAUCCGUGCCGCCGUCCUCGCAUCCCUUCCGUCGUCAUCUCGAUUGUCCGUCGAGCGACCCGCCCUCCAGGCGCCGGUCGGGACGGACACGGCCUUGGAGGAUACAUCCGAUUUGGGCUGGUAGCUCAGUUGGUUAGAGCGCGCGCUUGAUAAGCGUGAGGUCGGAGGUUCAAAUCCUCCCCGGCCCACCAUUUUCGGUGGUCCGCGUGGAACACGCGGACACAACAUGCCAGUGGCAUGUUGUGAACCGAAAAUCCCGAGCGCUUUGGCGCGAGGGCCUUUCCGCGCAGCGGAACCGGGGGUGUAGCUCAGCUGGGAGAGCGCCUGCUUUGCAAGCAGGAGGUCAUCGGUUCGAUCCCGUUCACCUCCACCACUUCUUCCGAAGUGGCUGGGUGUCCGGCGUCUCCGGCCAGGAUGACGACGCGAAGUCUGGAAAAGACUCUUUUCUCGUAUGCGCCGGCCCUCGGGCCCUGCAUGCGGCUCUUUGUCAUCGUGAAUAGGUUUGCAUGAACGGGCAUGACAUAUGGCCCUGCC
Molecule: transfer RNA, 598 nt
Filed under: uncultured bacterium
Lineage: Bacteria
Description: partial 16S-23S ribosomal RNA intergenic spacer
Rfam family: tRNA (bases 179-252)
Source: RNAcentral